RNAcentral lists this long non-coding RNA (212 nucleotides) under Lathyrus oleraceus (garden pea). RNAcentral's name for it is "Pisum sativum (pea) long non-coding RNA (PSAT_LNC002347)". Lineage: Eukaryota; Viridiplantae; Streptophyta; Magnoliopsida; Fabales; Fabaceae. The record is from RNAcentral.
UUUUCUUCUCUUAUUUUUAUUUUCUUGAUUUUCUAUUUUUAUUGAAUCUUCUCUUUGCUCCUUUGUUUUAAUUUGUUUACAAAUACUUUUAGGCAUUUAAAGUUUCUGAAAAAAUUACUUUAUGUCUCUUAUUUUAUUUCCAACCUUCCAUAAUUUUCUAGGCCAUUUAUUUAGUGUUUUAAAGGGAUUUAUGAAUUUUCUCUUUAAUUUUC